Molecule: ribosomal RNA, 1346 nt
Filed under: uncultured bacterium
Lineage: Bacteria
Description: partial 16S ribosomal RNA
Rfam family: Bacterial small subunit ribosomal RNA
Source: RNAcentral
GACGAACGUUGGCGGCGUGCUUAACACAUGCAAGUCGAACGGAAAGGCCCUGCUUUUGUGGGGUGCUCGAGUGGCGAACGGGUGAGUAACACGUGAGUAACCUGCCCUUGACUUUGGGAUAACUUCAGGAAACUGGGGCUAAUACCGGAUAGGAGCUCCUGCUGCAUGGUGGGGGUUGGAAAGUUUCGGCGGUUGGGGAUGGACUCGCGGCUUAUCAGCUUGUUGGUGGGGUAGUGGCUUACCAAGGCUUUGACGGGUAGCCGGCCUGAGAGGGUGACCGGCCACAUUGGGACUGAGAUACGGCCCAGACUCCUACGGGAGGCAGCAGUGGGGAAUAUUGCACAAUGGGCGGAAGCCUGAUGCAGCAACGCCGCGUGCGGGAUGACGGCCUUCGGGUUGUAAACCGCUUUCGCCUGUGACGAAGCGUGAGUGACGGUAAUGGGUAAAGAAGCACCGGCUAACUACGUGCCAGCAGCCGCGGUGAUACGUAGGGUGCGAGCGUUGUCCGGAUUUAUUGGGCGUAAAGGGCUCGUAGGUGGUUGAUCGCGUCGGAAGUGUAAUCUUGGGGCUUAACCCUGAGCGUGCUUUCGAUACGGGUUGACUUGAGGAAGGUAGGGGAGAAUGGAAUUCCUGGUGGAGCGGUGGAAUGCGCAGAUAUCAGGAGGAACACCAGUGGCGAAGGCGGUUCUUUGGGCCUUUCCUGACGCUGAGGAGCGAAAGCGUGGGGAGCGAACAGGCUUAGAUACCCUGGUAGUCCACGCUGUAAACGGUGGGUACUAGGUGUGGGGUCCAUUCCACGGGUUCCGUGCCGUAGCUAACGCUUUAAGUACCCCGCCUGGGGAGUACGGCCGCAAGGCUAAAACUCAAAGGAAUUGACGGGGCCCCGCACAAGCGGCGGAGCAUGCGGAUUAAUUCGAUGCAACGCGUAGAACCUUACCUGGGUUUGACAUGGAUCGGGAGUGCUCAGAGAUGGGUGUGCCUCUUUUGGGGUCGGUUCACAGGUGGUGCAUGCCUGUCGUCAGCUCGUGUCGUGAGAUGUUGGGUUAAGUCCCGCAACGAGCGCAACCCUUGUUCACUGUUGCCAGCACGUUAUGGUGGGGACUCAGUGGAGACCGCCGGGGUCAACUCGGAGGAAGGUGGGGAUGACGUCAAGUCAUCAUGCCCCUUAUGUCCAGGGCUUCACGCAUGCUACAAUGGCUGGUACAGAGAGUGGCGAGCCUGUGAGGGUGAGCGAAUCUCGGAAAGCCGGUCCCAGUUCGGAUUGGGGUCUGCAACUCGACCUCAUGAAGUCGGAGUCGCUAGUAAUCGCAGAUCAGCAACGCUGCGGUGAAUACGUUCCCGGGGCU